This 21-nucleotide small nuclear RNA is filed under the name Arabidopsis thaliana (thale cress). RNAcentral describes it as "snRNA_16322". Lineage: Eukaryota; Viridiplantae; Streptophyta; Magnoliopsida; Brassicales; Brassicaceae. The record is from RNAcentral.
GCCCACCCUGGAAACGGCUCA